UACGUAGGGGGCGAGCGUUGUCCGGAUUUAUUGGGCGUAAAGAGCUCGUAGGCGGUUUCGUAAGUCGGGUGUGAAAACCCCAGGCUCAACCUGGGGACGCCACCCGAUACUGCGAUGACUAGAGUCCGGUAGGGGAGUGUGGAAUUCCUGGUGUAGCGGUGAAAUGCGCAGAUAUCAGGAGGAACACCAACGGCGAAGGCAGCACUCUGGGCCGGAACUGACGCUGAGGAGCGAAAGCGUGGGUAGCGAACAGG
RNAcentral lists this ribosomal RNA (254 nucleotides) under uncultured bacterium. Its description in RNAcentral is "partial 16S ribosomal RNA". It matches the Rfam family "Bacterial small subunit ribosomal RNA", at positions 524 to 776 of the family's 1533-position model. The record is from RNAcentral.